Molecule: non-coding RNA, 93 nt
Organism: Dendrothele bispora CBS 962.96
Lineage: Eukaryota; Fungi; Basidiomycota; Agaricomycetes; Agaricales
Source: the annotation of a GenBank genome assembly
GCCCGCCUAGCUCAAUCGGAUAGAGCGUCAGACUUUUAAGGCGAGGUGUCUUGAGGAAUCUGAAGGCUGCGAGUUCGACCCUCGCGGUGGGCU